Long non-coding RNA from Etheostoma cragini (Arkansas darter), 104 nucleotides. RefSeq lists it as uncharacterized. The transcript has 3 exons. NCBI's taxonomy places the organism in Eukaryota, Metazoa, Chordata, Actinopteri, Perciformes, Percidae. The record is from RefSeq and is a predicted model, not a curated record.
ACACUGCGAAAGCAUUUGCAAAUUCGUCAGUAAAAGUCCAUUGUUUUGGUCUUGGUUCAGCUUGUGUGUAAAAGAAGUUCAAGCACUUUAAAGUUGUGUUAAUU